CCGAGUUGUAAUUUGUAGAGGAUGCUUCGGGUACGGCUCCGGUCUAAGUUCCUUGGAACAGGACGUCGCAGAGGGUGAGAAUCCCGUACGUGACCGGCCUCCACGCCCGUGUGAAGCUCCUUCGACGAGUCGAGUUGUUUGGGAAUGCAGCUCAAAAUGGGUGGUAAAUUUCAUCUAAAGCUAAAUAUUGGCCAGAGACCGAUAGCGCACAAGUAGAGUGAUCGAAAGAUGAAAAGCACUUUGGAAAGAGAGUCAAACAGUACGUGAAAUUGUUGAAAGGGAAGCGCUUGCAACCAGACUUGCCCGCGGGUGAUCAGCCGGUAUUUUUACCGGUGCACUCGCCCGUGGUCAGGCCAGCAUCGGUUUGGGCGGCUGGAUAAAGUCCCCCGGAAUGUAGCUCCUUUCGGGGAGUGUUAUAGCCGGGGGUGCAAUGCUGCCCGCCUGGACCGAGGACCGCGCUUCGGCUUGGAUGCUGGCGUAAUGGUUGUAAGCGACCCGUCUUGAAACACGGACCAAGGAGUCUAACAUCUAUGCGAGUGUUUGGGUGUCAAACCCAUGCGCGUAAUGAAAGUGAACGGAGGUGGGAACCCUCAAGGGUGCACCAUCGACCGAUCCUGAUGUCUUCGGAUGGAUUUGAGUAAGAGCAUAGCUGUUGGGACCCGAAAGAUGGUGAACUAUGCCUGAAUAGGGUGAAGCCAGAGGAAACUCUGGUGGAGGCUCGCAGCGGUUCUGACGUGCAAAUCGAUCGUCAAAUUUGGGUAUAG
This 764-nucleotide ribosomal RNA is filed under the name Acarospora cervina. RNAcentral describes it as "partial large subunit ribosomal RNA". It matches the Rfam family "Eukaryotic large subunit ribosomal RNA", at positions 138 to 920 of the family's 3401-position model. The record is from RNAcentral. Lineage: Eukaryota; Fungi; Ascomycota; Lecanoromycetes; Acarosporales; Acarosporaceae.